Molecule: ribosomal RNA, 522 nt
Filed under: uncultured marine eukaryote
Lineage: Eukaryota
Description: SSU rRNA
Rfam family: Eukaryotic small subunit ribosomal RNA
Source: RNAcentral
AAAAAGCUCGUAGUUGGAUUUCGGAACCGGCCGAUUGGUCCGUCCUCUGGAUCGUGUACUGAUCGGUCUGUUCUUCUUCGCGAAGACCGCGUAUGCUCUUAACUGAGUGGGCGUGGGAUUCGCGACGUUUACUUUGAAAAAAUUAGAGUGUUCAAAGCAGGCAGUCGCUUGAAUAUCUCAGCAUGGAAUAAUAGAAUAGGACUUUGGUCUUAUUUUGUUGGUUUCCGAGACCGAAGUAAUGAUUAAUAGGGACAGUUGGGGGCAUUCGUAUUUCAUUGUCAGAGGUGAAAUUCUUGGAUUUAUGGAAGACGAACUUCUGCGAAAGCAUUUGCCAAGGAUGUUUUCAUUAAUCAAGAACGAAAGUUGGAGGCUCGAAGACGAUCAGAUACCGUCCUAGUUCCAACCAUAAACGAUGCCGUCUGCGGAUCGGAGGUCGCUCAUGUAAGGCUCCUUCGGCACCGCUAUGAGAAAUCAAAGACUUCGGGUUCCGGGGGGAGUAUGUUCGCCAAGAAUAAAAACUUA